GACGAACGCUGGCGGCGUGCUUAACACAUGCAAGUCGAACGAUGAUGCCCAGCUUGCUGGGUGGAUUAGUGGCGAACGGGUGAGUAACACGUGAGUAACCUGCCCCUGACUCUGGGAUAAGCGUUGGAGACGACGUCUAAUACUGGAUAUGACUGCCGGACGCCUGGUCUGGUGGUGGAAAGAUUUUUUGGUUGGGGAUGGACUUGCGGCCUAUCAGCUUGUUGGUGAGGUAAUGGCUCACCAAGGCGACGACGGGUAGCCGGCCUGAGAGGGUGACCGGCCACACUGGGACUGAGACACGGCCCAGACUCCUACGGGAGGCAGCAGUGGGGAAUAUUGCACAAUGGGCGAAAGCCUGAUGCAGCAACGCCGCGUGAGGGAUGACGGCCUUCGGGUUGUAAACCUCUUUUAGUAGGGAAGAAGCGAAAGUGACGGUACCUGCAGAAAAAGCACCGGCUAACUACGUGCCAGCCGCCGCGGUAA
RNAcentral lists this ribosomal RNA (483 nucleotides) under uncultured bacterium. Its description in RNAcentral is "partial 16S ribosomal RNA". It matches the Rfam family "Bacterial small subunit ribosomal RNA", at positions 28 to 523 of the family's 1533-position model. The record is from RNAcentral.